RNAcentral lists this ribosomal RNA (435 nucleotides) under Triticum aestivum (bread wheat). RNAcentral's name for it is "partial small subunit ribosomal RNA". The record is from RNAcentral. Lineage: Eukaryota; Viridiplantae; Streptophyta; Magnoliopsida; Poales; Poaceae.
AUGCAGGAUGAAUACACCGCGCUCAUGACGAACAGGACCUGGACGCUCGUGCCACGGCCCCGAGGUGCCAACAUUGUCACGGGAAAGUGGUUGUUCCGGCACAAACUCAUAGCAGAUGGGAGCCUCGAUCGCUACAAGGUGCGAUGGGUCGUGCGCGGGUUCUCACAACGACCUGGUGUGGACUUUGAUGAGACAUUCUCGCCCGUGGUUAAAGCAGCUACCAUCCAUGCCGUCCUCACCGUCGCCGCCGCGCGCGACUGGCACGUGCACCAAAUGGACGUGAACAACGCGUUCUUGCAUGGCCAGCUUGCCGAGCGCGUGUACUGCCAGCAGCCGGCGGGGUUCGUCGACAAGCUUCACCCUGACCAUGUCUGCCUCCUCGACAAGUCACUGUACGGGCUCAAGCAGGCCCCCCGCGCCUGGUUCGCGCGGUUC